This 75-nucleotide transfer RNA is filed under the name bacterium. Its description in RNAcentral is "tRNA-Phe". It matches the Rfam family "tRNA". Rfam says of the family: Transfer RNA (tRNA) molecules are approximately 80 nucleotides in length. Their secondary structure includes four short double-helical elements and three loops (D, anti-codon, and T loops). The record is from RNAcentral.
GCCGGACUAGCUCAGUGGUAGAGCACAUCGCUGAAAACGAUGGUGUCCUCAGUUCAAUUCUGAGGUCCGGCACAA